CCUACGGGGGGCUGCAGUAAGGAAUAUUGGUCAAUGGACGAAAGUCUGAACCAGCCAUGCCGCGUGGAGGAUGAAGGUCCUCUGGAUUGUAAACUUCUUUUAUAUGGGACGAAAAAAGGCCUUUCUAGGCCGUCUGACGGUACCAUAUGAAUAAGCACCGGCUAACUCCGUGCCAGCAGCCGCGGUAAUACGGAGGGUGCCAGCGUCACUGGGAUUAACUGGGGCUUAGGUGGGCGGAGAUGGGUGUGGUGAAAUCUCCGAGCUUAACUUGGAAACUGCCAUUGAUACUAUUAAUCUUGAAUAUUGUGGAGGUUAGCGGAAUAUGUCAUGUAGCGGUGAAAUGCUUAGAUAUGACAUAGAACACCAAUUGCGAAGGCAGCUGGCUACACAUAUAUUGACACUGAGGCACGAAAGCGUGGGGAUCAAACAGGAUUAGAUACCCCUGUAGUC
This 450-nucleotide ribosomal RNA is filed under the name uncultured bacterium. RNAcentral's name for it is "partial 16S ribosomal RNA". It matches the Rfam family "Bacterial small subunit ribosomal RNA", at positions 338 to 795 of the family's 1533-position model. The record is from RNAcentral.